ACGCCAAUAGCUCAAUUGGUAGAGCAGCGGAUUCCAAAUCCGCAGGUUGGGGGUUCGAGUCCCUCUUGGCGUG
This 73-nucleotide transfer RNA is filed under the name Leptolyngbya sp. RNAcentral describes it as "tRNA-Trp". It matches the Rfam family "tRNA". Rfam says of the family: Transfer RNA (tRNA) molecules are approximately 80 nucleotides in length. Their secondary structure includes four short double-helical elements and three loops (D, anti-codon, and T loops). The record is from RNAcentral. RNAcentral also lists the same sequence under 6 other names. Lineage: Bacteria; Bacillati; Cyanobacteriota; Cyanophyceae; Leptolyngbyales; Leptolyngbyaceae.